RNAcentral lists this ribosomal RNA (497 nucleotides) under uncultured bacterium. Its description in RNAcentral is "partial 16S ribosomal RNA". It matches the Rfam family "Bacterial small subunit ribosomal RNA", at positions 28 to 507 of the family's 1533-position model. The record is from RNAcentral.
GAUGAACGCUGGCGGCGUGCCUAAUACAUGCAAGUCGAGCGAACAGACGAGGAGCUUGCUCCUCUGACGUUAGCGGCGGACGGGUGAGUAACACGUGGAUAACCUACCUAUAAGACUGGGAUAACUUCGGGAAACCGGAGCUAAUACCGGAUAAUAUAUUGAACCGCAUGGUUCAAUAGUGAAAGACGGUUUUGCUGUCACUUAUAGAUGGAUCCGCGCCGCAUUAGCUAGUUGGUAAGGUAACGGCUUACCAAGGCAACGAUGCGUAGCCGACCUGAGAGGGUGAUCGGCCACACUGGAACUGAGACACGGUCCAGACUCCUACGGGAGGCAGCAGUAGGGAAUCUUACGCAAUGGGCGAAAGCCUGACGGAGCAACGCCGCGUGAGUGAUGAAGGUCUUCGGAUCGUAAAGCUCUGUUAUUGGGGAAGAACAAAUGUGUAAGUAAAUAUGCCCGUCUUGACGGUACCUACUCAGAAAGCAACGGCUAACUACGUG